AUUGAACGCUGGCGGCAUGCCUUACACAUGCAAGUCGAACGGCAGCAUAGAGAGCUUGCUCUCUGAUGGCGAGUGGCGAACGGGUGAGUAAAGCAUCGGAACGUACCGUGUAGUGGGGGAUAACGUAGCGAAAGUUACGCUAAUACCGCAUACGCACUGAGGUGGAAAGCAGGGGAUCGCAAGACCUUGCGCUAUACGAGCGGCCGAUGUCAGAUUAGCUAGUUGGUAGGGUAAGGCCUACCAAGGCGACGAUCUGUAGCGGGUCUGAGAGGAUGAUCCGCCACACUGGGACUGAGACACGGCCCAGACUCCUACGGGAGGCAGCAGUGGGGAAUUUUGGACAAUGGGGGCAACCCUGAUCCAGCCAUGCCGCGUGAGUGAAGAAGGCCUUCGGGUUGUAAAGCUCUUUCGGCCGGGAAGAAAUCGCACAGGCUAAUACUCUGUGUGGAUGACGGUACCGGCAUAAGAAGCACCGGCUAACUACGUGCCAGCCGCCGCAGUAA
Molecule: ribosomal RNA, 503 nt
Filed under: uncultured bacterium
Lineage: Bacteria
Description: partial 16S ribosomal RNA
Rfam family: Bacterial small subunit ribosomal RNA
Source: RNAcentral